AUGGUUUCUUCUGCAGUGAUACUGCCAACCUUGCGAUUUCAGCUGAGGAUAAAGAAACUGAAUCAUCUGUAUGUUCUUCAGAAGACAAACCCUGAGAAGUUCAAGGGAGACUGGCAAGCUCUUUGAAGAACCUACUGAGCCAUAAGAACCUUGAGGAUUUUCUUUGACACAUCUUGUUUACCAAUAAAGCAGGGAGAAUAAUGUCCUGUGUGAAGAAAUCUGUGAAUGCUGAGCUCUUUGCCCAGGCAAGGGGCACAUUUCAUGAGAUCCUGUGCAGUCUUCCUCUUCUCCCAGAUGAAGCUUUUCAGGACAGAGAACUGGAUUCUGUCCACUUCUGUGAAGCACCUGGAGCAUUUAUAGCCUGCCUUAAGCACUACUUGAAGUCCCACCACAUCCCUUGCCACUGGAAUUGGACAGCAAAUACUCUAAACCCUUAUCAUGAAGCCAAAGACACCCUUCUGAUGAUCAUGGGUGACGCUCUGACAGCGAACACGUUACCUUGGUGGUACUUUGGCCCAGAUAACACUGGGGAUUGGAGUGGCAGACUCGUAGGGAGAAGACUCUUGGUCAGGUGUGAGAUGUAUGACAGUGAUGAUGUGGACCAUUAUGACUAAACUUACUGCUAAUAGAGUGUCUCAAUCUUGUCACUGCAGUAUAAAAUAGAAGCAGGUCUAAAGGGCUCUAAUAUGAGCAGGUUUGGCUGGAAACCCACAGGAUUCCAGUCUUUGGCAGUGCAGAACUCACUGAGACAAAGCAACAAGGCACCUCUGGAGCUACUUCAGGAUUUUAUCUGUGGACAUAACUGGAUCUUAGUUGGAUCUGCACUCAGAGGCACCAGGAAGCUGCAGGGGCAUGCAAGGAGCUCCAGUGACCCAGGGGGAGGGUGGCAGGAGCCUUCCAGCACUUGGCUCCUUGCCAGGUGCAAGGGAAGCCUGCAAGGCUCGGCUGGAUGCUGCAGCUCUGCCUCUACCUUCUGGACACUUUCCCAUCCAUAAUGGGACUUCAAACUGCUGAAGAACAGCCUCUAUGAGGUACAUUCCCAAAGGCAAAGAAACUCUAAAGUGAAAAUCACUGCCCUGACUUGUGCCACUUUGCUUCUGAGUUUAACAAGAAGAGCAUCCCCACGAGCGCCCAUUUUUCCAGCUCUCUGGCUCCCGACUAACAGACAUGCCAGCUGAGCCAAGGAAUUGGGAUUUCUAGUUGUGAUCACAAACUUGCCAGAUUGUGCCAUCAUGGUUCUGAACUCCUCUGCGUUGUCCCCUAUUUGGUGGGUUGAAAUGCCAGCUCUUGUGCGUGAGCCAGAAGAGUGCUUCCAGCCUGAAGCUGAACUCACUAAUUGAGCUGUGGUGACCUGCUAUGAACAGGUAAGUCUUUCUCCUCAUCCCCCCUCCUCCCCUUAAAACUACAUUAUUUACAUUCCACUCUCUAAAUUGACUAAACAGAGUUUGACUUUUUCUGUGCAUAAAGUUUAAUGAUUUGUGUAGAGUCAUCAUGUUAUAAAUGAAUGCUCUAAUUUAUUAAUUAAAGAAAAUUUAUUAAAUGUUCCAAAUAUAAAUUCAGAUGAUAACAGCGAAAAGCCACUAUCAAAAAAAAAAAAAAAAAGGGUCAAUGCCGAGUCCGGGAUCAGCACUGGGUGAGACACACAUUUGACUGCUGCAGCAGAGGGUCCCCUAUGUUCACACCGUCCUGCUCAAGUGGUGUUUAUACAGUUUAUUUUGCUCAAGGCAGGGAUUUCGGAGAUUUGGGAUCAGGCUUUUCUUUCCAUUCAAAGUCUCACAUAUUCAUAGAGUCUCUUUUCUCUGGCUGAGUUGAACAAAACUGUGUCUGGGAAGUGAUGGAUGCCAAUCAGAGGAUUACUGGAACUUGACAUUGAGAUGCGUCUUCUUGAUGGCUCUGGCUAUCUCAAUCUGAGAUAAUUACCAAGUAUUCAUCUCCUGGGUGUUCCUUGGAUUACCUUGGAGAAGUACCCAUCUCCGAGCUGGCCACCUCCAUUCGUUUGGAAAUGAGGUCCUUUUCUCCCUGCUGCCAGCUUUGGUUUCGAAAUACUGUGAAGCAAUUUUCCCGUUCUGGCUUGAGUGCUUAAGAAUACGUACAGGAAUAUGUCUUACUAAUAUAACAUAUUUCAUACAACUAUUUCUCACAAGCAUGAAUUAUCUAAAAUACAUGUAAUAAUCAGGUGCCAAUAACAACUUCUAUGCUGUAGCAGUUUCGAUGAAGUAGUUGUCAUGACAACUCAAUUAACUAAAUCAACAUAUUUGUAAGCAGCUGCAGCUCAUGUGCUCUGCAUCACAUUUACUUCCACACAGAUCAUAUGUGCCAAUGAGUCUGACCCUCAGCUCUCUGCCUCUCCUCCUCUCUCAGCCAGGAAGAUGAGGUACAAGGCAGUACUGCUCACUCUCAGCUGGGAUCUGGCACGUGUGGAGAUGAUUCUGGCAGUGCAGAAAUCCAGAUCAAGCCAUUGUCACCAUCCUCUUCCUCCCUCCCACUCCUCCCCAUUCUUCACUUGAGGUCACCUUUCAGGAAUUGUGUGCUAGCUCUGCUCUAAUUAAAGGAGAGUUUGUAGAU
Molecule: non-coding RNA, 2565 nt
Organism: Taeniopygia guttata (zebra finch)
Lineage: Eukaryota; Metazoa; Chordata; Aves; Passeriformes; Estrildidae
Source: RefSeq, a predicted model, not a curated record